RNAcentral lists this long non-coding RNA (262 nucleotides) under Homo sapiens (human). Its description in RNAcentral is "HSALNT0370712". The record is from RNAcentral. Lineage: Eukaryota; Metazoa; Chordata; Mammalia; Primates; Hominidae.
UUAGAUUUUGUUCAGCUAAGGACUCCUGGGGUGAUAUGGUGGUAGAGAUGAUGGUUGUGGUGGUGAUGGUGAUGGUCAUAGUGUAGUGGGGAUGGUGGUGAUGGUGGAGAUACUAUGGUGGUGGUGGGUAGAGAUGGUGAUGAUGAUGUUGGUGAGGGAGGUGGAGGUUGUGGAGGAGAUGGUGAUUCUGAUGGUGGUAGAAUUAGUAAAAUGGUGGAAUUGGUGUUGGUGAUAAUGGUAGAGAUCUCAUGGUGAUGGUGGC